RNAcentral lists this ribosomal RNA (406 nucleotides) under uncultured bacterium. RNAcentral describes it as "partial 16S ribosomal RNA". It matches the Rfam family "Bacterial small subunit ribosomal RNA", at positions 30 to 526 of the family's 1533-position model. The record is from RNAcentral.
AUUGAACGCUGGCGGCAGUCCUAACACAUGCAAGUCGAACGAGUGGCGGACGGGUGAGUAAUGUCUGGGAAACUGCCCGAUGGAGGGGGAUAACUACUGGAAACGGUAGCUAAUACCGCAUACCAUCGGAUGUGCCCAGAUGGGAUUAGCUAGUAGGUGGGGUAACGGCUCACCUAGGCGACGAUCCCUAGCUGGUCUGAGAGGAUGAAAAGCAAAACUGGAACUGAGACACGGUCCAGAGUCCUACGGUAGGCAGCAGGGGGGAGUAUUGCACAAUGGGGUCAAGCCUGAUGCAGCCAGGCAGCGUGUAUGAAGAAGGCCGUCGGGUUGUAAAGUACUUUAAGCGAGGAGGCGUUACGCGCAGAAGAAGCACCGGCUAACUCCGUGCAAGCAGCCGCGGUAAUUC